RNAcentral lists this ribosomal RNA (281 nucleotides) under Domibacillus aminovorans. Its description in RNAcentral is "partial 23S ribosomal RNA". It matches the Rfam family "Bacterial large subunit ribosomal RNA", at positions 2649 to 2925 of the family's 2925-position model. Lineage: Bacteria; Bacillati; Bacillota; Bacilli; Caryophanales; Bacillaceae. The record is from RNAcentral.
GGGGGGAGGAAAUUUGAGAGGAGCUGUCCUUAGUACGAGAGGACCGGGAUGGACGCACCGCUGGUGUACCAGUUGUCUCGCCAGAGGCAUCGCUGGGUAGCUACGUGCGGACGGGAUAAGUGCUGAAAGCAUCUAAGCAUGAAGCCCCCCUCAAGAUGAGAUUUCCCAUUACGUAAGUAAGUAAGAUCCCUUGAAGAUGACGAGGUAGAUAGGUUCGGGGUGGAAGUGUGGCGACACAUGGAGCUGACGAAUACUAAUCGAUCGAGGACUUAACCAAUAAC